Molecule: ribosomal RNA, 468 nt
Filed under: uncultured bacterium
Lineage: Bacteria
Description: bacterial SSU rRNA
Rfam family: Bacterial small subunit ribosomal RNA
Source: RNAcentral
GGGGCAGCGGAUUGAAGCUUGCUUCAAUGCCGGCGACCGGCGCACGGGUGAGUAACGCGUAUCCACCUUCCGCGUACUCGGGGAUAGCCUUCUGAAAAGGAGAUUAAUACCCGAUGGUAUUGCAUUAAUAAAGAACUCGGUAUGCGAUGGGGAUGCGUUCCAUUAGGUAGUAGGCGGGGUAACGGCCCACCUAGCCUGCGAUGGAUAGGGGUUCUGAGAGGAAGGUCCCCCACAUUGGAACUGAGACACGGUCCAAACUCUACGGGAGGCAGCAGUGAGGAAUAUUGGUCAAUGGACGAGAGUCUGAACCAGCCAAGUAGCGUGAAGGAUGAAGGUUUAUGGAUUGUAAACUUCUUUUAUAAGGGAAUAAACCUCCCACGUGUGGGAGCUUGUAUGUACCUUAUGAAUAAGCAUCGGCUAACUCCGUGCCAGCAGCCGCGGUAAUACGGAGGAUGCGAGCGUUAUCCG